GAUGAACGCUGGCGGCGUGCCUAAUACAUGCAAGUCGAGCGAACAGAUGAGGAGCUUGCUCCUCUGACGUUAGCGGCGGACGGGUGAGUAACACGUGGAUAACCUACCUAUAAGACUGGGAUAACUUCGGGAAACCGGAGCUAAUACCGGAUAAUAUAUUGAACCGCAUGGUUCAAUAGUGAAAGACGGUUUUGCUGUCACUUAUAGAUGGAUCCGCGCCGCAUUAGCUAGUUGGUAAGGUAACGGCUUACCAAGGCAACGAUGCGUAGCCGACCUGAGAGGGUGUUCGGCCACACUGGAACUGAGACACGGUCCAGACUCCUACGGGAGGCAGCGGUGGGGAAUCUUCCGCAAUGGGCGAAAGCCUGACGGGGCAACGCCGCGUGAGUGAUGAAGGUCUUCGGAUCGUAAAACUCUGUUAUUAGGGAAGAACAAAUGUGUAAGUAACUAUGCACGUCUUGACGGUACCUAAUCAGAAAGCCACGGCUAACUACGUG
This 497-nucleotide ribosomal RNA is filed under the name uncultured bacterium. RNAcentral describes it as "partial 16S ribosomal RNA". It matches the Rfam family "Bacterial small subunit ribosomal RNA", at positions 28 to 507 of the family's 1533-position model. The record is from RNAcentral.